GACGAACGCUGGCGGCGUGCCUAAUACAUGCAAGUAGAACGCUGAAGAGAGGAGCUUGCUCUUCUUGGAUGAGUUGCGAACGGGUGAGUAACGCGUAGGUAACCUGCCUUGUAGCGGGGGAUAACUAUUGGAAACGAUAGCUAAUACCGCAUAACAAUGGAUGACACAUGUCAUUUAUUUGAAAGGGGCAAUUGCUCCACUACAAGAUGGACCUGCGUUGUAUUAGCUAGUAGGUGAGGUAACGGCUCACCUAGGCGACGAUACAUAGCCGACCUGAGAGGGUGAUCGGCCACACUGGGACUGAGACACGGCCCAGACUCCUACGGGAGGCAGCAGUAGGGAAUCUUCGGCAAUGGGGGCAACCCUGACCGAGCAACGCCGCGUGAGUGAAGAAGGUUUUCGGAUCGUAAAGCUCUGUUGUAAGUCAAGAACGAGUGUGAGAGUGGAAAGUUCACACUGUGACGGUAGCUUACCAGAAAGGGACGGCUAACUACGUGCCAGCAGCCGCGGUAAUACGUAGGUCCCGAGCGUUGUCCGGAUUUAUUGGGCGUAAAGCGAGCGCAGGCGGUUUGAUAAGUCUGAAGUUAAAGGCUGUGGCUCAACCAUAGUUCGCUUUGGAAACUGUCAAACUUGAGUGCAGAAGGGGAGAGUGGAAUUCCACGUGUAGCGGUGAAAUGCGUAGAUAUAUGGAGGAACACCGGUGGCGAAAGCGGCUCUCUGGUCUGUAACUGACGCUGAGGCUCGAAAGCGUGGGGAGCGAACAGGAUUAGAUACCCUGGUAGUCCACGCCGUAAACGAUGAGUGCUAGGUGUUGGAUCCUUUCCGGGAUUCAGUGCCGCAGCUAACGCAUUAAGCACUCCGCCUGGGGAGUACGACCGCAAGGUUGAAACUCAAAGGAAUUGACGGGGGCCCGCACAAGCGGUGGAGCAUGUGGUUUAAUUCGAAGCAACGCGAAGAACCUUACCAGGUCUUGACAUCCCGAUGCUAUUUCUAGAGAUAGAAAGUUACUUCGGUACAUCGGUGACAGGUGGUGCAUGGUUGUCGUCAGCUCGUGUCGUGAGAUGUUGGGUUAAGUCCCGCAACGAGCGCAACCCCUAUUGUUAGUUACCAUCAUUCAGUUGGGCACUCUAGCGAGACUGCCGGUAAUAAACCGGAGGAAGGUGGGGAUGACGUCAAAUCAUCAUGCCCCUUAUGACCUGGGCUACACACGUGCUACAAUGGUUGGUACAACGAGUUGCGAGUCGGUGACGGCAAGCUAAUCUCUUAAAGCCAAUCUCAGUUCGGAUUGUAGGCUGCAACUCGCCUACAUGAAGUCGGAAUCGCUAGUAAUCGCGGAUCAGCACGCCGCGGUGAAUACGUUCCCGGGCCU
This 1369-nucleotide ribosomal RNA is filed under the name uncultured bacterium. Its description in RNAcentral is "bacterial SSU rRNA". It matches the Rfam family "Bacterial small subunit ribosomal RNA", at positions 28 to 1381 of the family's 1533-position model. The record is from RNAcentral.